RNAcentral lists this ribosomal RNA (203 nucleotides) under Pseudoalteromonas sp. H105. Its description in RNAcentral is "partial 16S ribosomal RNA". It matches the Rfam family "Bacterial small subunit ribosomal RNA", at positions 1 to 209 of the family's 1533-position model. Lineage: Bacteria; Pseudomonadati; Pseudomonadota; Gammaproteobacteria; Alteromonadales; Pseudoalteromonadaceae. The record is from RNAcentral.
UUUAAUUGAAGAGUUUGAUCAUGGCUCAGAUUGAACGCUGGCGGCAGGCCUAACACAUGCAAGUCGAGCGGUAACAGAGAGUAGCUUGCUACUUUGCUGACGAGCGGCGGACGGGUGAGUAAUGCUUGGGAACAUGCCUUUAGGUGGGGGACAACAGUUGGAAACGACUGCUAAUACCGCAUAACGUCUACGGACCAAAGGGG